UACGGAGGAUCCGAGCGUUAUCCGGAUUUAUUGGGUUUAAAGGGUGCGUAGGCGGCCUGUUAAGUCAGGGGUGAAAUACGGUGGCUCAACCAUCGCAGUGCCUUUGAUACUGACGGGCUUGAAUCCAUAUGAAGUGGGCGGAAUAAGACAAGUAGCGGUGAAAUGCAUAGAUAUGUCUCAGAACUCCAAUUGCGAAGGCAGCUAUCUAAGUCAUGAUUGACGCUGAUGCACGAAAGCGUGGGGAUCGAACAGG
Molecule: ribosomal RNA, 253 nt
Filed under: uncultured bacterium
Lineage: Bacteria
Description: partial 16S ribosomal RNA
Rfam family: Bacterial small subunit ribosomal RNA
Source: RNAcentral